This 433-nucleotide ribosomal RNA is filed under the name uncultured bacterium. RNAcentral's name for it is "partial 16S ribosomal RNA". It matches the Rfam family "Bacterial small subunit ribosomal RNA", at positions 29 to 507 of the family's 1533-position model. The record is from RNAcentral.
AACGAACGCUGGCGGCAUGCCUAACACAUGCAAGUCGAACGAGACCUUCGGGUCUAGUGGCGCACGGGUGCGUAACGCGUGGGAACCUGCCCUUAGGUUCGGAAUAACUCCCCGAAAGGUGUGCUAAUACCGGAUAAUGUCUUCGGACCAACGAUUUAUCGCCUUUGGAUGGGCCCGCGUUGGAUUAGCUAGUUGGUAGGGUAAAAGCCUACCAAGGCGACGAUCCAUAGCUGGUCUGAGAGGAUGACCAGCCACACUGGGACUGAGACACGGCCCAGACUCCUACGGGAGGCAGCAGUGGGGAAUAUUAGGGGCUGGGCGAAAGCCUGAUCAAGCAAUGCCGCGUGAGUGAUGAAGGCCUUAGGGUUGUAAAGCUCUUUUACCCGGGAUGAUAAUGACAGUACCGGGAGAAUAAGCUCCGGCUAACUACGUG